RNAcentral lists this small RNA (4236 nucleotides) under Rattus norvegicus (Norway rat). RNAcentral's name for it is "uncharacterized LOC103694180". The record is from RNAcentral. Lineage: Eukaryota; Metazoa; Chordata; Mammalia; Rodentia; Muridae.
UCAAGAGGCUGUGAGGCAGCUCAGCGUCUCCAUUAGAAUUCAGAGUAUUCCACGGUAAUUACAAAACAGCUGUAAUGGAAAAUUGGUAGUCAAACCCAUUUUCCAGCGACUAGAACGGUGAAUGGGCUCCAUUAUGUUCCUAAUUCUCAUUAACUUAAUUUGCAUAGGAAACAAUGAAGGAAUACAUAAUGAAGUACAGUGGGCCAGCAGCCCAGCCCUCACCCCCACAAUGCUGGGUUCAACUUGCACUGACCCACCCCACAGAGAGGGAGAAACCCAGGGCUCCCUGUGGACUGGACCUCCCCCAGGUGACCUGAAGCUGCCCUGAUGGAGCACAAUGGAGGGAUACCACUUGUCUGUAACUUGUUCAGGAUCCCUUUGCCUCAGCACACACCAUGUAAACCCUGAUUCUUCUCCACACCCCUGCUUUGGGGAAGGCUGAAGAACUGGAGCAGAAGGAAAAAGAACUUGUUUUUAGCUCUUCAGGUGCCAUAACUCUGCAUCCCAGAGAGAAAACAAACACCUGCUUGAGAAGCAGUAUUGUUGGUCCCUGUGUAAGAAACAACCAGACGACCCUCCAGAUACAAACACCUUCUCUUCCCUGCAGCCAGCACCACCCUCACAGUUUGGAGCCACAGCCUACCAUGUAUGCAGACAAUAGGAAACAGCAAUGCCUUUGUGCUUCAGGGAGAAGAGGAGAAGGGCAGGAGAGUAAAUGUGGUCGUGACGAAACACAAACCAUGCAAUGCCAUGCACAUCUUUUUCCUGUUGGAUAUCGGGAUGUAUUUGGCUCAAUAUCUAGUGCACGCACAGUAUCAGGCUCACAAAAAUAUGGAGAACUAACUGGAUACCUGAGAAGAGAAGAAGGGAAAGAAGAAGACUGGAGAUGCAAAUGCAUAGAGAACCUGGAGGCAGAAACUAGAGCAGAGGCCAUGGAGGAGCCAUACUACUGACUUACUCCCAGAUUCACACCUCUCAAGACCACCUGCCUAGAGAUAGCACAGCUCACAGUGAGCUGGGCACUCCCCCAUCAAUCAGCAAUCAAGAAAAGACCCUGAAGACAUGUCUACAAGCCAAUCCAAUGGGGGAAAAUUUUCAACUGGGGUUCACACAUCCAAAUGUGACAAGUUGACCACAAGGUGAGUUAGUCAUCACAGAUGUGAAAUCACUUUGUCAUAGCAUCAUUUUUUUUUCUAUCUCAAGAGGAACUGUAGGUUUUUCCUAUUUCAACGUCUCAAUGGAAGAAUGACUGUCUUGAACAUUAAAUUUGGACUUGAUCUUGCUUUCAGCCGCAGACUUCCUGAGAUGUUACAGCCAUAAUAAACAAACCUCCCUCCUGAUGCCCCAGUUCAGAAUUCCACAUGUGGAAGAGAUUAUUUCAUAGGCGACAUGGCGAAGAAUGAGGUAGCAUCUGAACAAUAAAGGUCUCAGAUCUAAUUUUCUGAACCCUACAAUAAGGUUGAUAACUGAGUGGCGGUUAGCAAUGCACCUUAGACUGAUUUGGCUUCUCUUUCCUCUUAGAACCCUGGGCACACCCAGUGGUAUCCAGAUCUCUCUAGGUAUGAGAUAGUUGAGACCCCAGACUGGGAUUGUAUUAGCCUACAUAAGUAGCUCUGGGUGUCUUGACCUUUCACAGUUACCAGAAUCAUCUGGACACGAUGUUGCAAAUCCCAGUAACUGGACCAGACCCUCCCUAGGUUUGUUAAUUUCAGAUGGCUAGUUUGUAGACUUAGCCAUAAUUAUUUUUGCUAAACUUCUGGCUAUCUCCAUCGUAACGAAUACCAGGAGUCACUGUUCUCCAUGAACCACAAAGGAAGAUCAUGUCUACAUGGAUUACCUAGUUCCAUCAUGUAAUAUUGCCUGAGUGAGUGAUCACAGAGACUUCGGUCUAAUACCACAAAGAGAAGAAUCUCCCAGAGUCCCCUGCGUAGAUGCCCUAGAACAAGGACUUAUGAAGAAUCAGUACUGCAUCCAGAGAAGACAGUGCAGUCCUGAAGCCAGAGCUUGGACACAGAGUCAAACUGAGGGCUGUGAAAUGUCAAGCUGCCAGGCAAAAUCUAAGGACCCCAGGCGAAGAGACGGUUUACCUGUAUUCAGAGCGAACCUUCCAAGCGCAGUGAAACCUUUCUGGAGACACCCUCACGGACAAUCACAAAAGUGUCUUUCUUAGUGAUUCCAAAUGUACUAAAGCUGACAAGAAAGAUCAUCCCGUCACACUGGGUUUGCUUCCAGUCUGCUCAGAGAAGGAUUUCCAAGUUUCUCCAGCUGUACUGAGGGGGAAGCUUGGUUCUGGAGCUAAGGAAGUUCAUCAUUUGGUAAAGAUCUUUCUGCAUUGUCACAUGUCGGAAGACAAAUGCCUGAGAGACAGAGAUCACACAAAUCAGUUCUUUUAUCAGGAACCCAUUCUGAGUUUAAUGAGCCUGAGAAUUUUCCUCCAGAGAACGUUUCCCAGAAUAUUACACAGCUUUGGAAACAAAUACCAGCUCCAGUUGUAUGGCCUGAAAACAUCAGUGUGGUCCUAAAGGAAACAAAUCCACCCUAAGGGAGUAUGAUAAGAACCCAACACAACUGUCUUGAGAGGCUUCAUCCAGACGCUGAUGGAAAUAAAUGUAGAGACCCACAGCCAAAACAUUAGACAGAGCAUGAGGAGUCUUGUGGAAGAGUCGGGGACAGGAUUGAGGGAUCCAGAGAGAUCAAGGCUACCACAAGAAGACCUACAGAGUCAACUAAGCUGGGCCCAUGGGGCUUCACAAAGACUGAACCACCAACCAAAAACCAUGUGUUUCUAUGUUUUCAUCAUUAUUUUCAUGAUAAUGCUAGAAGGAAACGUUGUUCUCAUGCCUCUAUAUAUGAAGGCAACCCAAAAGACAUGUGUCAACCUCUACAGCAGCAAGGAAAGGUUGGGAGUGGGAGGCCUCUCAAUACUUUCUGCUUCUCCAAGUGGCCAAACUCACCGGCAGAUCUUGCUGCAGCAAUGACAAGAAAGGUGCUUCCUGGUGAAGUCCUGGAUGAAGCCUAUGGAGAAGGGAAGGCUGCUGAGAACAUCCUGCCACCUCCCACAAUGCACCAAAAAAAGAAGCCUUGGUCUUUAAUGCCAGUCCUAAUUGAGUGGAUGGACCCCAUAGGUGAGCCCCAAAUUGGGAACCAUGGGAGGUUAGAAAUUAAACAGCAGCUUCAGUCUGCAAACUCAGAAACCUUGCAGGCUGGUGGGAGGAGGAGAAGAAACCAGAACUGGUUCUAUGCCCCGAUGCUCUCUGGUGUGGACAUACUGGUGUAGUUACCUGGUGGUGAAAUUUCAGGGCUCUCCAAAGGUAGAGCCACUCCAGCUUCUCACGGGGACUCUUAACAUUUCACAUACUAAACUAUCUCCUUAUACAGAUAGUGAUGAUGCUGAUAUACUGGGUAAAUUAUUUCCAUUUACAUUAAAAUUACACCUGCUUCAUCCAACGGGGAGGAGGACCAACAGGCUCUGGUGAAGUGGAUCAGAGUGAGAAGAAGCUUAACAGAAUUCUGAAAAGGAGCCUGGUUUGACUCUGAAAGUGUUCCGUAGGGAAAGAAGCCUCACCAGAAAUUGGCCAUGUGAAACAGAACUGAGAAUGGAGAAAAUUGCUUCCAGUUCCAGGUAGAGAGACCAAGACAACAUGAUUGGCAAGUGGGAUAUAUGGAAGAGGUCACUAGAGUUCAAGGUCCUUCAUACUCAUGUGAGAGAAAAAGAAAAAGGAAAUGAUGCAAAGAAGAAAUCAAAAGUCCACUGAGUUCAGUCACCCAUAAGAAACAUGAGACAUGUAGAACUCUCGUCAAGAACAAAUGCUGAAGUCAAAAGCUGAACCAUCACACCAUGCCAGCAGCUGAUGCUAGAAACCACUUCUGUGAUUUCAAGUCUCUAAGUUGGAAAGCUCCCAAACAGACCUGUUCCUUCAUUCUGAUUCCUAUUCUCUAAUGGUGAAAUUUAGCCUGAUGAGAGGGGAGAUGAAGACUUUCCAGAUGGAGGGACACCCUAUAUGAAGGUCCAAAGGUCAGAAGGAAGAAGUCCUAUGUCGACAACAUGGAAGACACAGCAGUACCAAGUCACCCUGGUCUGUUCACAUCACAGAUAUGGCCACAGAGCAGUGCCCAACACACAGGGAAUCUGCAGUCUGGGAAGUCUCCAGUAACCCUAUUGUUAACACCAAGUGGUUUUAUUCUUGUGAAUGCAAUCAUCAUUGUUGUAAAUACAGAACACUGUUCCUCCCAUAA